RNAcentral lists this unclassified non-coding RNA (174 nucleotides) under uncultured Clavariaceae. RNAcentral's name for it is "sequence contains ITS1". The record is from RNAcentral. Lineage: Eukaryota; Fungi; Basidiomycota; Agaricomycetes; Agaricales; Clavariaceae.
UUGAAUCCUUAGGAUGUUGCUGACCCUUCGGGGUAUCGUGCACUCCACAUUUCAAUCCACCUGUGAACUUAUUGUAGACUUGGCUGUAAAAGUCCAUGUCUAUGUUUUUAAUACACCCUAAUAAAAGUUAUUUGAAUGUCUAUUGGAAAGACCUUAUGGUCUAGAAACAUAAUA